CUCACACGGCAGAUCGAAACACUGCACAUGGAGAGAUUUGGAUUGCAACGGUUUUCUACAUCACCAAGUGACAUUCGCUACUAUACCAGAUUUCCAUCAUAUGAACAUUUGAUGGCCUUUUGGGAUCUAAUUCAAGAGGCAACAAGCAGAAUGGUGAGAGUCACCAGAGGUCAGAAGAACCUCUCCACCAGUACAUCCACUGAGACCCCUAUGAACAGACCAACAAAACUGCUGCCAAUUGACGAGCUCUUCCUCUUCCUCAACUACCUGUCAACCGGCUGUACACAAAGGGAGCUUGGUCACAAGUUCAAUAUCCACAGAGCAACAGCAAGCAGAAUAAUUGUGACGUGGUCCAACUUUUUGUAUACUUUGCUCGGAUCGCUCUCCAUCUGGAUGAC
Long non-coding RNA from Gadus macrocephalus (Pacific cod), 398 nucleotides. RefSeq lists it as uncharacterized. The record is from RefSeq and is a predicted model, not a curated record. The transcript is spliced from 3 exons. Lineage: Eukaryota; Metazoa; Chordata; Actinopteri; Gadiformes; Gadidae.